CGCCAGCAGCCGCGGUAAUACGGAGGGUGCGAGCGUUGUCCGGAAUCACUGGGCGUAAAGGGCGCGUAGGCGGCGCGGUAAGCGUGCGGUGAAAGCCCGGGGCUCAACCCCGGGUCGGCCGUGCGGACUGCCGGGCUCGAGCACUGUAGAGGCAGGUGGAAUUCCGGGUGUAGCGGUGGAAUGCGUAGAGAUCCGGAAGAACACCGGUGGCGAAGGCGGCCUGCUGGGCAGUGGCUGACGCUGAGGCGCGACAGCGUGGGGAGCAAACAGGAUUAGAUACCCUGGUAGUCCACGCCGUAAACGAUGGGCACUAGGUGCUUCGGGGAGCGACCCUCGGGGUGCCGGCGCUAACGCAUUAAGUGCCCCGCCUGGGGAGUACGGCCGCAAGGCUGAAACUUAAAGGAAUUGACGGGGGCCCGCACA
Molecule: ribosomal RNA, 423 nt
Filed under: uncultured bacterium
Lineage: Bacteria
Description: bacterial SSU rRNA
Rfam family: Bacterial small subunit ribosomal RNA
Source: RNAcentral